GAUGAACGCUGGCGGCGUGCCUAAUACAUGCAAGUCGAGCGAACAGACGAGGAGCUUGCUCCUCUCACGUUAGCCGAGCACGUGUGAGUAACACGUGGAUAACCUCCCUAUAAGACUGGGAUCUCUUCGGGACACCGGCGAUAAUACCGGAUAAUCUAUUGAACCGCAUGGUUCGAUAGUGAAAGACGGUUUUGCUGUCACUUAUAGCUGGAUACGCGCCGCAUUAGCUAGUUGGUAAGGUAACGGCUUACCAAGGCAACGAGGCGUAGCCGACGUGAGAGAGGGGUCGGCGACACUGGAGGUGGAACACGGUCCAUACGACUACGGUAGGCAGCAGUAGGGAAUCGGACGCAAUGGGCGAGAGCCUGACGGAGCAAGGCGGCGUGAGUGAUGAAGAUCUUCGGAGCGUAAAACUCUGUUAUUAGGGAAGAACAAAUGUGUAAGGAACUAUGCACGGCGUGACGGUAACUAAUCAGAAAGCAACGGCUAACUACGUG
RNAcentral lists this ribosomal RNA (497 nucleotides) under uncultured bacterium. Its description in RNAcentral is "partial 16S ribosomal RNA". It matches the Rfam family "Bacterial small subunit ribosomal RNA", at positions 28 to 507 of the family's 1533-position model. The record is from RNAcentral.